Molecule: long non-coding RNA, 425 nt
Filed under: Physcomitrium patens
Lineage: Eukaryota; Viridiplantae; Streptophyta; Bryopsida; Funariales; Funariaceae
Description: long non-coding RNA (PPAT_LNC001243)
Source: RNAcentral
ACAGAUAAGAGCCCUUCAGCAACAGGAGGAGCAGAGAGAUGAAGAAGCAGAAGCAGAGGAGGAGGAGGCACUGAUGAUGGGAGAGAAAGGGCCCUUUUAGAAGCACACAUGGACACACACACACACACACACAUACACAACGAGCCAUGGCAUUAGUCGAAAAAGUCAGGAGCAUGCAGCAGCUCUCACAAUAAGUUAGUGGAAGCCAGGACAGUACCAGUCAGUCUCAUGCCCUCAGCAGCAUUGCAGCAGCAUGGUUGUCAGUCCCUCAAGCUGCUGCUUACUGCUCACUGCUCUGAUUUGCCAUGAGUCCCUCCAAUCCUGCAGACUGGGACACUGACGAGCUCCAAUGAUCACCACCAGUUCCACUCUCCUCCUCUUGCAGUGCAUACUACCGCACACGGUUGUAGAACCAUGUUGAUCCA